CAUGCAUGUCUCAGUACAAGCCAAAUUAAGGUGAAACCGCGAAAGGCUCAUUAAAUCAGUUAUGGUUCCUUAGAUCGUACCACAUUACUUGGAUAACUGUGGUAAUUCUAGAGCUAAUACAUGCAAACAGAACUCCGACCGGAGACGGAAGGAGCGCUUUUAUUAGAUCAAAACCAAUCGGCGUCGGUUUCGGCCGGUCGUCGUACAUCUUGGUGAAUCUGAAUAACUUUGCUGAUCGCACGGUCUCGCACCGGCGACGCAUCUUUCAAAUGUCUGCCUUAUCAACUGUCGAUGGUAGGUUCUGCGCCUACCAUGGUUGUAACGGGUAACGGGGAAUCAGGGUUCGAUUCCGGAGAGGGAGCCUGAGAAACGGCUACCACAUCCAAGGAAGGCAGCAGGCGCGCAAAUUACCCACUCCCGGCACGGGGAGGUAGUGACGAAAAAUAACGAUACGGGACUCAUCCGAGGCCCCGUAAUCGGAAUGAGUACACUUUAAAUCCUUUAACGAGGAUCAAUUAGAGGGCAAGUCUGGUGCCAGCAGCCGCGGUAAUUCCAGCUCUAAUAGCGUAUAUUAAAGUUGUUGCGGUUAAAAAGCUCGUAGUUGAAUCUGUGUACCGCGCCGCCGGUUCAUCGCUCGCGGUGUCAACUGGCGUGUCCGCGGUACGUCCUGCCGGUGGGCUUAGCCCGUAAAAAGGCGGCCCAACCUAGCAAUCCCGCCGCGGUGCUCUUCGUUGAGUGUCGAGGUGGGCCGGCACGUUUACUUUGAACAAAUUAGAGUGCUUAAAGCAGGCUAAAACUUCGCCUGAAUAAUGUGUGCAUGGAAUAAUAGAAUAGGACCUCGGUUCUAUUUUGUUGGUUUUCGGAACUCCGAGGUAAUGAUUAAUAGGGAUUGAUGGGGGCAUUCGUAUUGCGACGUUAGAGGUGAAAUUCUUGGAUCGUCGCAAGACGGACAUAAGCGAAAGCAUUUGCCAAAAAUGUUUUCAUUAAUCAAGAACGAAAGUCAGAGGUUCGAAGGCGAUCAGAUACCGCCCUAGUUCUGACCAUAAACGAUGCCAGCUAGCGAUCCGCCGACGUUCCUCCGAUGACUCGGCGGGCAGCUUCCGGGAAACCAAAGCUUUUGGGUUCCGGGGGAAGUAUGGUUGCAAAGCUGAAACUUAAAGGAAUUGACGGAAGGGCACCACCAGGAGUGGAGCCUGCGGCUUAAUUUGACUCAACACGGGAAACCUCACCAGGCCCGGACACCGGAAGGAUUGACAGAUUGAGAGCUCUUUCUUGAUUCGGUGGGUGGUGGUGCAUGGCCGUUCUUAGUUGGUGGAGCGAUUUGUCUGGUUAAUUCCGAUAACGAACGAGACUCUAGCCUGCUAACUAGGCGUAUUUCCGGCAUCUCGAAGGGUAGCCUGCCGUUGCGGCCGCAAGGUUGUUUCGGUUGCGCUUACUUUUUACUGCCGGCGUACAAGCAGUUCUUCUUAGAGGGACAGGCGGCUUCUAGCCGCACGAGAUUGAGCAAUAACAGGUCUGUGAUGCCCUUAGAUGUUCUGGGCCGCACGCGCGCUACACUGAAGGAAUCAGCGUGUCUUCCUAGCCCGAGAGGGCCGGGUAACCCGCUGAACCUCCUUCGUGCUAGGGAUUGGGGCUUGCAAUUGUUCCCCAUGAACGAGGAAUUCCCAGUAAGCGCGAGUCAUAAGCUCGCGUUGAUUACGUCCCUGCCCUUUGUACACACCGCCCGUCGCUACUACCGAUUGAAUGAUUUAGUGAGGUCUUCGGACCGGUACGCCGCGGCGUUUCGACGUCGCAGAUGUUGCUGGAAAGAUGACCGAACUUGAUCAUUUAGAGGAAGUAAAAGUCGUAACAAGGUUUCCGU
Molecule: ribosomal RNA, 1861 nt
Filed under: Contacyphon sp. BT0013
Lineage: Eukaryota; Metazoa; Arthropoda; Insecta; Coleoptera; Scirtidae
Description: SSU rRNA
Rfam family: Eukaryotic small subunit ribosomal RNA
Source: RNAcentral